GCUUGGGAGUCUUCUGCUGGAGGUUCCUUCACUGUGCAGGCUGACCAUGGUGAGCCCAUUGGCAGAGGUACCAAAGUGAUCCUCCAUCUUAAAGAAGAUCAGACAGAGUACUUAGAAGAGAGGCGGGUCAAAGAAGUAGUGAAGAAGCACUCUCAGUUCAUAGGCUAUCCCAUCACCCUUUAUUUGGAGAAGGAGCGAGAGAAGGAAAUUAGUGAUGAUGAGGCAGAGGAAGAGAAAGGUGAGAAAGAAGAGGAAGAUAAAGAUGAUGAAGAAAAGCCCAAGAUCGAAGAUGUGGGUUCAGAUGAGGAGGAUGACAGUGGUAAGGAUAAGAAGAAGAAAACUAAGAAGAUCAAAGAGAAAUACAUUGAUCAGGAAGAGCUAAACAAGACCAAGCCUAUUUGGACCAGAAACCCUGAUGACAUCACCCAAGAGGAGUAUGGAGAAUUCUACAAGAGCCUCACCAAUGACUGGGAAGACCACUUGGCAGUCAAGCACUUUUCUGUAGAAGGUCAGUUGUAAUUCAGGGCAUUGCUAUUCAUUCCUCGUCGGGCUCCCUUUGACCUUUUUGAAAACAAGAAGAAAAAGAACAACAUCAAACUCUAUGUCCGUCGUGUGUUCAUCAUGGACAGCUGUGAUGAGUUAAUACCAGAGUAUCUCAAUUUUAUUCGUGGUGUGGUUGACUCUGAGGAUCUGCCCCUGAACAUCUCCCGAGAAAUGCUCCAGCAGAGCAAAAUCUUGAAAGUCAUUCGUAAAAACAUUGUUAAGAAGUGUCUUGAGCUCUUCUCUGAGCUGGCAGAAGACAAGGAGAAUUACAAGAAAUUCUAUGAGGCAUUCUCUAAAAAUCUCAAGCUUGGAAUCCACGAGGACUCCACUAACCGCCGCCGCCUGUCUGAGCUGCUGCGCUAUCACACCUCCCAGUCUGGAGAUGAAAUGACAUCUUCGUCAGAGUAUGUUUCUCGCGUGAAGGAGACACAGAAGUCCAUCUAUUACAUCACUGGUGAGAGCAAAGAGCAGGUGGCCAACUCAGCUUUUGUGGAGCGAGUGCGGAAACGGGGCUUCGAGGUGGUAUAUAUGACCGAGCCCAUUGACGAGUACUGUGUGCAGCAGCUCAAGGAGUUUGAUGGGAAGAGCCUGGUCUCAGUUACCAAGGAGGGUCUGGAGCUGCCUGAGGAUGAGGAGGAGAAGAAAAAGAUGGAAGAGAGCAAGGCAAAGUUUGAGAACCUUUGCAAGCUCAUGAAAGAAAUCCUAGAUAAGAAGGUUGAGAAGGUGACAAUCUCCAAUAGGCUUGUGUCUUCACCCUGCUGCAUUGUGACCAGCACCUAUGGCUGGACAGUCAAUAUGGAGUGGAUCAUGAAAGCCCAGGCACUUCGGGACAACUCCACCAUGGGCUAUAUGAUGGCCAAAAAGCACCUGGAGAUCAACCCCGACCACCCCAUUGUGGAGACUCUGCGGCAGAUGGCUGAGGCCCACAAGAAUGAUAAGGCAGUUAAGGACCUGGUGGUGCUGCUGUUUGAAACCGCCCUGCUCUCUUCAGGCUUUUCCCUUGAGGAUCCCCAGACCCACUCCAACCGCAUCUACCGCAUGAUCAAGCUAGGUCUAGGUAUUGAUGAAGAUGAAGUGGCAGCAGAGGAACCCAGUGCUGCAGUUCCUGAUGAGAUCCCCCCUCUUGAGGGCGAUGAGGAUGCAUCUCGCAUGGAAGAAGUCGAUUAGGUUAGAAGUUCAUAGUUGGAAAACUUGUGCCCUUGUAUAGUGUCCCUGUGGCUCCCACUGCAGCCUCAAGUGCCCCUGUCCCACCUGGCUCCCCCUGCUGAUGUCUAGUGUUGUUUUUCCUCUCCUGUCCUUUUGUUGAAGGCAGGAAACCAAGGGUGUCAAGCCCCAUUCCCUCUCUACUCUGACAGCAGGAUUGGAUGUUGUGUGUUGUGGUUUAUUUUAUUUUCUUCAUUUUGUUCUGAAAUUAAAGUAUGCAAAAUAAAGAAUAUGCCGUUUUUAUACAAAAAAAAA
Molecule: RNA transcript, 2001 nt
Organism: Rhinopithecus roxellana (golden snub-nosed monkey)
Lineage: Eukaryota; Metazoa; Chordata; Mammalia; Primates; Cercopithecidae
Gene name: heat shock protein HSP 90-beta pseudogene
Exons: 1
Source: RefSeq, a predicted model, not a curated record